This 478-nucleotide ribosomal RNA is filed under the name uncultured bacterium. Its description in RNAcentral is "partial 16S ribosomal RNA". It matches the Rfam family "Bacterial small subunit ribosomal RNA", at positions 28 to 523 of the family's 1533-position model. The record is from RNAcentral.
GACGAACGCUGGCGGCGUGCUUAACACAUGCAAGUCGAACGGUAAGGCCCUUCAGGGUACACGAGUGGCGAACGGGUGAGUAACACGUGGGUGAUCUGCCCUGCACUUCGGGAUAAGACUGGGAAACUGGGUCUAAUACCGGAUAGGACCACUGCCUGCAUGGGUGGUGGUGGAAAGCUUUUGCGGUGUGGGAUGGGCCCGCGGCCUAUCAGGUUGUUGGUGGGGUGAUGGCCUACCAAGGCGACGACGGGUAGCCGGCCUGAGAGGGUGACCGGCCACACUGGGACUGAGAUACGGCCCAGACUCCUACGGGAGGCAGCAGUGGGGAAUAUUGCACAAUGGGCGCAAGCCUGAUGCAGCGACGCCGCGUGAGGGAUGACGGCCUUCGGGUUGUAAACCUCUUUCAGCACCGACGAAGCGCAAGUGACGGUAGGUGCAGAAGAAGGACCGGCCAACUACGUGCCAGCCGCCGCAGUAA